ACUCCUACGGGGAGGCAGCAGUGGGGGAAUAUUGCACAAUGGGGGGAAACCCUGAUGCAGCCAUGCCGCGUGUGUGAAGAAGGCCUUCGGGUUGUAAAGCACUUUCAGUAGGGAGGAAGGUAGUGUAGUUAACACCUGCAUUAUUUGUACGUUACCUACAGAAGAAGCACCGGCUAACUCCGUGCCAGCAGCCGCGGUAAGUACGGAGGGUGCGAGCGUUAAUCGGAAUUACUGGGCGUAAAGCGCAUGCAGGCGGCCGUGUUAAGUCAGAUGUGAAACGCCCGGGGUCUUAACCGUCGGAAUUGCAUUUGAAACUGGCGAGGCGUAGAGUCUUGUAGGAGGGGUUAGAAUUUCGAGGUGUAGCGGUGAAAUGCGUAGAGAUCGUG
Molecule: ribosomal RNA, 386 nt
Filed under: uncultured bacterium
Lineage: Bacteria
Description: bacterial SSU rRNA
Rfam family: Bacterial small subunit ribosomal RNA
Source: RNAcentral